RNAcentral lists this ribosomal RNA (372 nucleotides) under uncultured organism. RNAcentral's name for it is "bacterial SSU rRNA". It matches the Rfam family "Bacterial small subunit ribosomal RNA", at positions 526 to 896 of the family's 1533-position model. The record is from RNAcentral.
CGUAGGGUGCGAGCGUUAAUCGGAAUUACUGGGCGUAAAGCGUGCGCAGGCGGUUUUGUAAGACAGGCGUGAAAUCCCCGGGCUCAACCUGGGAACUGCGCUUGUGACUGCAAGGCUAGAGUACGGCAGAGGGGGGUGGAAUUCCACGUGUAGCAGUGAAAUGCGUAGAGAUGUGGAGGAACACCAAUGGCGAAGGCAGCCCCCUGGGUCGAUACUGACGCUCAUGCACGAAAGCGUGGGCAGCAAACAGGAUUAGAUACCCUGGUAGUCCACGCCCUAAACGAUGUCAACUAGGUGUUGGGUGGGUAAAACCAUUUAGUACCGGAGCUAACGCGUGAAGUUGACCGCCUGGGGAGUACGGCCGCAAGGUUA